ACACCUUAGAAGAGUAGAUUAUUUGGUCCAUUUAUAUUUUACUUUCAAAGAGUGCAAGGCUGAUAGCAAGUUCUCACAUAGUAAUCCAUGGAAAAACUACCUGUUAAGGUAUGCAUAUUUUAGCUUGAAAUCACUGAAGUGGCACAGCAGUGGCCCUAAUGACCCCAAGCCUAAUAUAUUGGAAGAAAAAUCCCAAGUGAGUCUUAAUUAAGUGAACCACUAAGUAAAGCAUACUAAGACAAUACUAAUUGCACUGAUAAACAUAAGCAGUGUGAACAGGAAGUACAUAGAUACACUUGUUAGGGUUUUAUUCAUAUUUGAAAAAAAAAGGAAAGAAAAAGAAAAGAAAACUUUACAUUUUUUUCAUGAGGUCAUCUUCAGUGGUUUAUUUCAAAGAUGCUGCACAAAUUCCAAAUAAAGAUAAGAUGAACUGAGAUGGAAUAAAAGUAAACACUUCCUCAGCAUAUUAGGUUAUUUUUAAACUCUUCAGAGUGGACUUUAUUUUAUUUUAAUCCCAUUUUCCCAGAAAGAAUUUCUUAACUGAACGAAACAAACCACAAGAGGACUAUCUGGUUGUGCGACUACCCAUAUUUAAGGUUGACCUUUUUGAAGUCUAAAGUCAAGUCAGUUUUUUCUCCCAUACCUUCUGCUUUGCUGUUGCUUAUUUUUAAAAGUACUGUACUGCUAAAGUCAAUAGCUGGUCCUCUUCUCAUACACUUUUUAAAAAUUGAAAAUAUAUGAGAAAGAGUAAUUUCAAUUUGAGCAUUUAUUUUAUUGAGGGCUGUGUAGAAGCCUGCUGAAAAAUUACUUCUCUAAUAGUUAGUCACAACUGAAUCUUUCAGAGGAGGAAAGAGCAGACACUAGGCACAGAACAAAGAGCAAAUGAAACAGGAACUGUGGAAUAACACUGUGUUCCCAAAGAAAACAUAACUGCCAUAGAUCACAGAAUGAAAGCCCCAGAGCACGCAGCAGAGAAGUCCAGCAACAGGAGUCAACAUUUACAGAAAACCCUGUAGGAAGACUGUGGCACUACCAACUGAUCAACAUGUUACAGAACUCAUUUUAUACUGCAGCCAGGCUGAGGAGGGCCCAUCACCUGCACAUAAAUAUUUGGACAGUGGCGACAACUUGAAGACAGCUAGCUGCAGAGUGAUAUUCCAGAAUAAGAGUUUUGAAGCUCCAGAUGACUAGCUGACCUGGGUAUUAAUGCUGGAUAUAGCAACGUCCUUCUAUGUCCUUCUAAAUUUUCUUCAUGAGUAGUGAUAAGUUAUGCUGAGAAAAAUUCUUGAACCUACAGUUAUACAACAUUGUUCUUGCCGCCUUUCAAAAAUGGACAAUGUCUCCCAUAUGGAAUAUCUACUGAUGAUCUUGCAAGAAGGUGAAUAAAAAAUCCAAUGAAGACAUAAAACGAGUUUCAUUUAAAAAAUCUGGUAAAAUGGAAGUUUGCUUUACACAAACAGUAAAGAAGCCUUGGAAGAUAAUGUUGACUUCCCAUGCUCAAAAGUACUCUGACUCAGGAAGAUAGCUCCAGCCCUUCAAAGGAAGGGCUGUCUGCAAUAAAUGCCCAUGGAGACCUCUCAGCAAUUCCAUAAGAUAAGUGAAUUGGCUUAAAUCAAAUGUUUUGCAGUUCCAUUUACAGAGCAUUUACUGGCCAUCGUGUACUACUCAAGUUACUAGAACACUAAGUUGACUCAUGCUUGGAAAUACUGGUUUUAUGUUGCUAUCAGAGUAUUGUCAUAAAUCCACCCACAAUUACAAAGAGUCCUACUCUGCUGCUGUAGCUACCUUUAACUCCUUGCCCUCAGCAAAUUGUAUGCCUAGGGAGAUGGACUACUUCGGCCUUGAGAAAUUUCCAAUUAGGUCAUUUUGAGAAGCAGUCUGGAUGUGUGGUCUGAAAUAGCAUUUCCAGUUUUUGCCUAUUUUUAUUUUUGAGAACUGCUUGCAAAUAAAUGCCACUGAGUUUGUUAGGAAGAGGUUACUCUUUACUACCUUUGGGAAUUGUGCCUUACCCUUAGGUUGCACAGCUUCUAUUUUCUGAGUCCCUUCUGAUUUUCUCAUAUGGUUGCUGCAAAUUGCAAAAUCAUUGUAAGCUUCUGUUUCUUCACUAGCAAAAUGAGAAAUAGUAACACACCUAGGGAUUGGGAGGAUGAACUGAGGAAAUAUAGCCAUUGGAUUAUUUUUAUAAGGCCCCUACAAAUUGAUGGCAAAAAAAGACCUGGCCCUUUGAAAGAGCAUCCCAUCUCCUCAAAUGUGUACUAGUGAGUUUACAAGAGGCUAUAAUGACAGCUGAAGUUAUCCUUGUUCAAGUAUAAAUAUGGACUUGGAAAAAUAAGUCAGGAAUCUAUGGAACUGCAUUGAAAACUCAGCUGUGCAUUGCUUAGUCACAUAGGAAACACGGUAAGGAAAUGCAAUGUGAUCAGAUCAGCUUAACCCCUAGAGUGCAAGCUGGAUACGGGAGCAGGGCAGUAAAACCAGGAAAACUGAGGGGAUGGUAGCCUUUUAGGAGAAAAAUAUAAGAGGAAAAACAAAUCUAGGAAAGAAAAAUAUGAAGCAGAGAAAAGGCUGUGAAAAGAAAGAGAAAAAUCAGUCUAAGAAGCCAAGAUAUUUGAGUAGCAGGCAGUGUUUUGAAUGUGCAAUGAUGACAAAUAAUCCCAAAGAUGGAUGUGUGUCACACGCUGGAGAGCAGUGACAGUGAGAAGAUGAGAUGUCUCUAAGGCAGACCUUGGUUUAAAUCUCAAGUCUGUGGCUUAUUAACUUUGCAGUGUCAAGCAACUUACUUCAUUCUUCUGAGACUCAUCUGUAAAAUAUGGAUAAUUACUGUAUUUCUGCACUGUUGUGAAUAUUUUAGUUAAUAUAUGCAUAUUUGUCCCUAGCAAAAUGCAAUGAGUAACAGUUAUUAGUUAGUCUAAAGAGGAAAUAAAGGGAGGGACAACUAAGAGUAAAGUUGUCCACUUUCUACUUCAGCUCUCCCCUCCAAGGGAAAAGGUGAUAUGUUGGUGCUAAGUCUGACUGAAGGCAUCUGGGUCACAUGUACCUAUGAGAGUCCCUGACUAGAAUCUAGUUGUUUCCUGCAAUAAUAUCAUAUGUAUUAGAGCAGGUUGUUCAACAGAGUAAUAUGUGUGGUUAUUUAAAUUUAAACUAAAAGUUAAAAUAUGCUUUGUUUCAAUAGCUACAUUUCAAAUAAUCAACAGCCACAUGGCUGGUAGGCAGCAUACACACACACACACACACACACACACACACACACAUAUAUUUACAUAUAUGCUGUGCAUAUAUAUGCAUAUCUUUGUGUAUGUAUGUGUAUUUCUGUCAUCACAAAAAGUUCUAUUGUCUGACCUUGCUUGACUACGGUGGAUUAUGUGGCCAAAAAAAAAGUAAUUCCGUAAGUCAAGAAAGUGGGCAAAGAUUGAGGAGAGAAAUUAGAAUAGGAAGAUAGGGCUUCUGCUGAGGGAAGCCCUUCUCUUUUUAAAAAAUACCUGAGGUGAUGGCAGUAGAAAGGAGUGCUUAAGAUUAGAAAGGUGAGUUAACCAUAAACUGUGAUGUCUAUGGCCUGGGGCAAGGAUGAAAGGAUUGCAGCCACACUUGAAAUUUGCUCUAGGAGUGGUAUUGUGGUCCCAGAAAACCUAUUACAUGGUGACUAACAUGGAGA
RNAcentral lists this long non-coding RNA (3649 nucleotides) under Homo sapiens (human). RNAcentral's name for it is "HSALNT0088270". Lineage: Eukaryota; Metazoa; Chordata; Mammalia; Primates; Hominidae. The record is from RNAcentral.